RNAcentral lists this small RNA (28 nucleotides) under Bombyx mori (domestic silkworm). RNAcentral describes it as "ovarian small RNA-12026". The record is from RNAcentral. Lineage: Eukaryota; Metazoa; Arthropoda; Insecta; Lepidoptera; Bombycidae.
AGCAAUGUCAAAGAUGGUAGCCUUCUAA